This 232-nucleotide ribosomal RNA is filed under the name uncultured bacterium. RNAcentral's name for it is "partial 16S ribosomal RNA". It matches the Rfam family "Bacterial small subunit ribosomal RNA", at positions 118 to 347 of the family's 1533-position model. The record is from RNAcentral.
UGAGCAAUCUGCCCUUCUCUUCGGAAUAAGCGUUGGAAACGACGUCUAAUGCCGAAUACGACCUCCUUUCGCAUGAUCGGAGGUGGAAAGCUCCGGCGGAGAAGGAUGAGCUCGCGGCCUAUCAGCUAGUUGGUGUGGGUAAUGGCCCACCAAGGCGACGACGGGUAGCCGGCCUGAGAGGGCGAUCGGCCACGCUGGGACUGAGACACGGCCCAGACUCCUACGGGAGCAG